This 163-nucleotide ribosomal RNA is filed under the name uncultured bacterium. RNAcentral's name for it is "partial 16S ribosomal RNA". It matches the Rfam family "Bacterial small subunit ribosomal RNA", at positions 355 to 509 of the family's 1533-position model. The record is from RNAcentral.
UAGGGAAUUUUUCGUCAAUGGGCGCAAGCCUGAACGAGCGAUGCCGCGUGAGUGAAGAAGGCCUUCGGGUCGUAAAGCUCUGUUGCGGGGGAAAAAAGGCAGCAUCAGGAAAUGGGUGCUGACUGAUGGUGCCCCGCCAGAAAGUCACGGCUAACUACGUGCC